UGUUGGUCCAAGUCAGUGGUGUUUACACCUAAUCGAUCACAACUGGUUACAGAUUGCUUUGUUCCCUCUUCUCUUCCACUGCUUCACGCGACUAGCCCCGA
RNAcentral lists this non-coding RNA (101 nucleotides) under Otolemur garnettii (small-eared galago). The record is from RNAcentral. Lineage: Eukaryota; Metazoa; Chordata; Mammalia; Primates; Galagidae.